RNAcentral lists this ribosomal RNA (253 nucleotides) under uncultured bacterium. RNAcentral describes it as "partial 16S ribosomal RNA". It matches the Rfam family "Bacterial small subunit ribosomal RNA", at positions 524 to 776 of the family's 1533-position model. The record is from RNAcentral.
UACGAAGGGGGCUAGCGUUGCUCGGAAUCACUGGGCGUAAAGCGCACGUAGGCGGAUCGUUAAGUCGGAGGUGAAAUCCUGGAGCUCAACUCCAGAACUGCCUUCGAUACUGGCGAUCUCGAGUUCGGGAGAGGUGAGUGGAACUGCGAGUGUAGAGGUGAAAUUCGUAGAUAUUCGCAAGAACACCAGUGGCGAAGGCGGCUCACUGGCCCGAUACUGACGCUGAGGUGCGAAAGCGUGGGGAGCAAACAGG